GAAAACUCCGGUGGUACGGGAUGGACCCGCGUCUGAUUAGCUGGUUGGCGGGGUAACGGCCCACCAAGGCGACGAUCAGUAGCCGGCCUGAGAGGGCGGACGGCCACAUUGGGACUGAGACACGGCCCAAACUCCUACGGGAGGCAGCAGUGGGGAAUAUUGCACAAUGGGGGAAACCCUGAUGCAGCGACGCCGCGUGAGUGAAGAAGCGUUUCGGCGCGUAAAGCUCUGUCAGCGGGGAAGAAACACGGUUCGCGAGAGCCGCGGACGGUACCCGACCAAGAAGCCCCGGCUAACUACGUGCCAGCAGCCGCGGUAAUACGUAGGGGGCAAGCGUUAUCCGGAUUCACUGGGUGUAAAGGGAGCGUAGACGGCGAGACAAGUCUGGAGUGAAAGGCCGGGGCCCAACCCCGGGACUGCUCUGGAAACUGCCUGGCUGGAGUACAGGAGAGGUAAGUGGAAUUCCUAGUGUAGCGGUGAAAUGCGUAGAUAUUAGGAGGAACACCAGUGGCGAAGGCGGCUUACUGGACUGUAACUGACGUUGAGGCUCGAAAGCGUGGGGAGCAAACAGGAUUAGAUACCCUGGUAGUCCACGCCGUAAACGAUGAUCACUAGGUGUCGGGGGUUA
This 628-nucleotide ribosomal RNA is filed under the name uncultured bacterium. RNAcentral describes it as "bacterial SSU rRNA". It matches the Rfam family "Bacterial small subunit ribosomal RNA", at positions 202 to 832 of the family's 1533-position model. The record is from RNAcentral.